CCGGAGGAAGUGGGGAUGACGUCAAGUCAUCAUGGCCCUUACGGCCUGGGCUACACACGUGCUACAAUGGUCGGUACAAAAGGGUUGCCAAGCCGCGAGGUGGAGCUAAUCCCAUAAAACCGAUCGUAGUCCGGAUCGCAGUCUGCAACUCGACUGCGUGAAGUCGGAAUCGCUAGUAAUCGUGAAUCAGAAUGUCACGGUGAAUACGUUCCCGGGCCUU
This 220-nucleotide ribosomal RNA is filed under the name uncultured Pseudomonas sp. Its description in RNAcentral is "partial 16S ribosomal RNA". It matches the Rfam family "Bacterial small subunit ribosomal RNA", at positions 1163 to 1382 of the family's 1533-position model. Lineage: Bacteria; Pseudomonadati; Pseudomonadota; Gammaproteobacteria; Pseudomonadales; Pseudomonadaceae. The record is from RNAcentral.